AUACGGAGGGUGCGAGCGUUAAUCGGAAUUACUGGGCGUAAAGCGUACGUAGGCGGUUGGUUAAGUUAGAUGUGAAAGCCCCGGGCUUAACCUGGGAACUGCAUUUAAAACUGGCGAACUAGAGUUGAGUAGAGGGGAGUGGAAUUUCAGGUGUAGCGGUGAAAUGCGUAGAGAUCUGAAGGAACACCAGUGGCGAAGGCGACUCCCUGGACUCGAACUGACGCUGAGGUACGAAAGCGGGGGUAGCAAACGGGAUUAGAUACCCUAGUAGUCC
RNAcentral lists this ribosomal RNA (274 nucleotides) under uncultured bacterium. Its description in RNAcentral is "partial 16S ribosomal RNA". It matches the Rfam family "Bacterial small subunit ribosomal RNA", at positions 523 to 796 of the family's 1533-position model. The record is from RNAcentral.